CCUACGGGUGGCAGCAGUGAGGAAUAUUGGUCAAUGGACGAGAGUCUGAACCAGCCAAGUAGCGUGAAGGAUGACUGCCCUAUGGGUUGUAAACUUCUUUUAUAUGGGAAUAAAAUGUUCCACGUGUGGGAUUUUGUAUGUACCAUAUGAAUAAGGAUCGGCUAACUCCGUGCCAGCAGCCGCGGUAAUACGGAGGAUCCGAGCGUUAUCCGGGUUUAUUGGGUUUAAAGGGAGCGUAGGUGGAUUGUUAAGUCAGUUGUGAAAGUUUGCGGCUCAACCGUAAAAUUGCAGUUGAAACUGGCAGUCUUGAGUACAGUAGAGGUGAGCGGAAUUCGUGGUGUAGCGGUGAAAUGCUUAGAUAUCACGAAGAACUCCGAUUGCGAAGGCAGUUCACUGGACUGCAACUGACACUGAGGCUCGAAAGUGUGGGUAUCAAACAGGAUUAGAUACCCGAGUAGUC
Molecule: ribosomal RNA, 460 nt
Filed under: uncultured bacterium
Lineage: Bacteria
Description: partial 16S ribosomal RNA
Rfam family: Bacterial small subunit ribosomal RNA
Source: RNAcentral